This 208-nucleotide non-coding RNA is filed under the name Acidiphilium cryptum. RNAcentral also lists the same sequence under 1 other name. Lineage: Bacteria; Pseudomonadati; Pseudomonadota; Alphaproteobacteria; Acetobacterales; Acidocellaceae. The record is from RNAcentral.
AUGAUUUGGACAGGAAUCGGUGGCCCGCAAGGGCUGAAACGGGAAUGCAGAAGGGCGAGAUGGUGCCCCGGCUGCGGCUGCCCCCGCAACUGUGAGCGGCGAGGCGCGUUCAUUCCGGCCAUUGCGAGGCGGCGCAGACCGUCCGCGAGAAGGCCGAACGCGCCCAUGACCCGCGAGCCAGGAGACCGGCCGGUCCCGAGACCAUGCG